This 793-nucleotide ribosomal RNA is filed under the name uncultured archaeon. Its description in RNAcentral is "bacterial SSU rRNA". It matches the Rfam family "Archaeal small subunit ribosomal RNA", at positions 85 to 876 of the family's 1478-position model. The record is from RNAcentral.
ACUGCUCAGUAACACGUGGAUAACAUGCCCUUGGGUCCGGCAUAACCCCGGGAAACUGGGGAUAAUUCCGGAUAACGCACAUAUGCUGGAAUGCUUUAUGCGUCAAAUGGAUUCGUCUGCCCAAGGAUGGGUCUGCGGCCUAUCAGGUAGUAGUGGGUGUAAUGUACCUACUAGCCGACAACGGGUACGGGUUGUGAGAGCAAGAGCCCGGAGAUGGAUUCUGAGACAUGAAUCCAGGCCCUACGGGGCGCAGCAGGCGCGAAAACUUUACAAUGCGGGAAACCGUGAUAAGGGGACACCGAGUGUCAGCAUCAUAUGCUGGCUGUCCAGGGGUGUAAAAUACACCUGUUAGCAAGGGCCGGGCAAGACCGGUGCCAGCCGCCGCGGUAACACCGGCGGCCCGAGUGGUGAUCGUGAUUAUUGGGUCUAAAGGGUCCGUAGCCGGUUUGGUCAGUCCUCCGGGAAAUCUGAUAGCUCAACUAUUAGGCUAUCGGGGGAUACUGCCAGGCUUGGAACCGGGAGAGGUAAGAGGUACUACAGGGGUAGGAGUGAAAUCUUGUAAUCCCUGUGGGACCACCUGUGGCGAAGGCGUCUUACCAGAACGGGUUCGACGGUGAGGGACGAAAGCUGGGGGCACGAACCGGAUUAGAUACCCGGGUAGUCCCAGCCGUAAACGAUGCUCGCUAGGUGUCAGGCAUGGCGCGACCGUGUCUGGUGCCGCAGGGAAGCCGUGAAGCGAGCCACCUGGGAAGUACGGCCGCAAGGCUGAAACUUAAAGGAAUUGGCGGGGGAG